AUGAACGCUAGCGGCAGGCCUAAUACAUGCAAGUCGAACGAGAUUAUCCAGCUUGCUGGGUAUGAAAGUGGCGCACGGGUGCGUAACGCGUAUGCAACCUACCUCAAUCAGGGGGAUAGCCCGAAGAAAUUCGGAUUAACACCGCAUAACAACACAGUACAGCAUUGUACAAUGUUCAAAUAUUUAUAGGAUUGAGAUGGGCAUGCGUGUCAUUAGCUAGUUGGCGGGGUAACGGCCCACCAAGGCGACGAUGACUAGGGGAUCUGAGAGGAUGACCCCCCACACUGGUACUGAGACACGGACCAGACUCCUACGGGAGGCAGCAGUAAGGAAUAUUGGUCAAUGGAGGGAACUCUGAACCAGCCAUGCCGCGUGCAGGAAGACAGCCCUCUGGGUCGUAAACUGCUUUUAUUCGGGAAUAAACCUUAUUACGUGUAAUAAGCUGAAUGUACCGAAGGAAUAAGGAUCGGCUAACUCCGU
RNAcentral lists this ribosomal RNA (480 nucleotides) under uncultured bacterium. RNAcentral describes it as "bacterial SSU rRNA". It matches the Rfam family "Bacterial small subunit ribosomal RNA", at positions 29 to 506 of the family's 1533-position model. The record is from RNAcentral.